UUGUUAUAUUAUUCCCAUGUCAAUUUCCCAAUUUAGAGUUACUUGAUCUUGUCUAAACAGAAUUCACAGUACAUUUACACAGUUAUUCAAAUAUCUUGAGGCAUUUUCUUCCUGAAAUCUUACUUUACUUAUGCCAUAAUGUCUUUAUUCUCUUUUUUACAAUAAACAACAAAAGCUUAUCAUGCUUAUAAUCAUUAAACAUUUUUUUGUUGA
Pelobates cultripes (western spadefoot toad) is the source of this 213-nucleotide non-coding RNA. NCBI's taxonomy places the organism in Eukaryota, Metazoa, Chordata, Amphibia, Anura, Pelobatidae. The record is from the annotation of a GenBank genome assembly.